This is a long non-coding RNA of Mastomys coucha (southern multimammate mouse), 1110 nucleotides long. RefSeq lists it as uncharacterized. The transcript has 2 exons. The record is from RefSeq and is a predicted model, not a curated record. Lineage: Eukaryota; Metazoa; Chordata; Mammalia; Rodentia; Muridae.
CUGUCCCGUCGAAGCUGGCCAGCAGGUUCGGCGCCAUUGGCUACUGGAGAGUCAUCUCCCUUCCAGGAUCUCACCCCCUGCAGAAUGAGGAGGGGCAUGAGAGGUGACUGGGGUCAGCAGAGAGCAGAUGGGAGGCACCCAGGUUAGCGCAGCCGCAGCCGAGAAGCGAUUAGUACCCCCUAAAGCCGCCACCAGUGCCUUCACCAGCACCAAAUCACGGUGCCCUGUACAGUCUCAGGUCUCACCUUUUCAGCCUCUUCGCGGCUCAUGGCCAAGGCCAGCUGCAGCUGCAGCUCUUCUUCUCCAGAAGUCUGGGGCCGUGCCUGCUCCAGGUCUGAGGCAUAGCGUGGGGACGAAGAUGCAGCUGCAACAAGUGUGGGGUCUGUGAGAACAGCAGUACCCGUGGUCCCCACAUUCCUCUGCCUGCCAGGAAGCUGGGGCUCACAGAGUGAGCCAGAGAUUGGCCUUUCAGGCUCUUGUGAGCCAGGCAGUACAUUGGACACCCCUUUGUGGAUUUUCCACUGCACUGCUAGAUGCCAGGGCCACCUCGACGAGGAGUAAACAUCAUGGAAGGGGGCCUGGCAGUAGUCCUAAGUCAAGACUUACUGCAGGUCCCUGACUUCAGCUCUUGAACUCUUCCAAUAGGACACUACUAGCCUGUUUGGGGCCACAGGGAUUAGGAGGGAGGGAUCUACCAAUCAAAUGAAAUCACAGCCUCGGAGCCCCAAGCAGGCCAUCACGGGCUUUAUGGAAGGAGGGCUGUUUUGUUCCUCUGGUCACAAAGGCCUCCACCACUUUGGGGAGCCAUGAGGACGGAUAUUUCAACAUCGGCCACCCUUGUUUUCAAGGACAAUACUCUUGAGUGGCAGAGGUUUACAGAAUGUCAGGUGUCUGAGUGAAAAAGGGCACUGAGUGUCAAGGGCACUCGGGCUGUCUCUCAUUCAUUUCUCAGAUCAAACAAUAUAGGGAGGGAGGUGUACCUCUGUUUUACAGAGCUGGUUGCCCAAGCCACUCGGCUUGGAAGGAACAGAAUGAAUGGUAUGCACCUCCAGAGCCUGCAUUUUGACCUCCAAGCCACCCUCUCAGGCACUAACUAAUAAUAAGGACAAG